Molecule: transfer RNA, 82 nt
Filed under: Nitrospirota bacterium
Lineage: Bacteria; Pseudomonadati; Nitrospirota
Description: Nitrospirae bacterium (sediment metagenome) tRNA-Leu
Rfam family: tRNA
About the family: Transfer RNA (tRNA) molecules are approximately 80 nucleotides in length. Their secondary structure includes four short double-helical elements and three loops (D, anti-codon, and T loops). Further hydrogen bonds mediate the characteristic L-shaped molecular structure. tRNAs have two regions of fundamental functional importance: the anti-codon, which is responsible for specific mRNA codon recognition, and the 3' end, to which the tRNAs corresponding amino acid is attached (by aminoacyl-tRNA synthetases). tRNAs cope with the degeneracy of the genetic code in two manners: having more than one tRNA (with a specific anti-codon) for a particular amino acid; and 'wobble' base-pairing, i.e. permitting non-standard base-pairing at the 3rd anti-codon position.
Source: RNAcentral
GCGAAAGUGGCGGAAUUGGCAGACGCGCUGGACUUAGGAUCCAGUGCCUCACGGCAUAGGGGUUCGACUCCCCUCUUUCGCA